This 443-nucleotide ribosomal RNA is filed under the name uncultured Shewanellaceae bacterium. RNAcentral's name for it is "bacterial SSU rRNA". It matches the Rfam family "Bacterial small subunit ribosomal RNA", at positions 1088 to 1532 of the family's 1533-position model. The record is from RNAcentral. Lineage: Bacteria; Pseudomonadati; Pseudomonadota; Gammaproteobacteria; Alteromonadales; Shewanellaceae.
CGCACGAGCGCACCCCUAUCCUUAUUUGCCAGCACGUAAUGGUGGGAACUCUAGGGAGACUGCCGGUGAUAAACCGGAGGAAGGUGGGGACGACGUCAAGUCAUCAUGGCCCUUACGAGUAGGGCUACACACGUGCUGCAAUGGCGUAUACAGAGGGUUGCAAAGCCGCGAGGUGGAGCUAAUCUCACAAAGUACGUCGUAGUCCGGAUCGGAGUCUGCAACUCGACUCCGUGAAGUCGGAAUCGCUAGUAAUCGUGGAUCAGAAUGCCACGGUGAAUACGUUCCCGGGCCUUGUACACACCGCCCGUCACACCAUGGGAGUGGGCUGCAAAAGAAGUGGGUAGUUUAACCUUCGGGAGAACGCUCACCACUUUGUGGUUCAUGACUGGGGUGAAGUCGUAACAAGGUAGCCCUAGGGGAACCUGGGGCUGGAUCACCUCCUU